GAAACCUGCAAAGCAGAACGACCCGUGAACUAAUACUAACUCGGGGGUGAGGGGAAGGUCGCUCUCUUGUGCCCCACCCUUUCCCCCUAGCCUUGUAGUGCCCCAUGCCGCACCGAACUUGUUUCGGCGUUGGUGUAGGGAUGCUCCAUGGCGACAUAACGAACCCCGGCGCGGCAUGCGCCAAGGAAAUCAUAACGAACUUAGCACACCUGUAGCCGACUCGUGCGGCAGCGGUGUUGCAAAUUUCGAUACCUAAACGACUCUCGGCAACGGAUAUCUCGGCUCUCGCAUCGAUGAAGAACGUAGCGAAAUGCGAUACUUGGUGUGAAUUGCAGAAUCCCGUGAACCAUCGAGUUUUUGAACGCAAGUUGCGCCCGAAGCCACUCGGCUAAGGGCACGUCUGCCUGGGCGUCACGUAUUGCGUUGCUCCACAAUGCCUUCCUCCCCAAGGGCAAGGUGCUGCGGAUGCAGAUAUUGGCCUCCCGUGCCUGACACGGCUGGCCUAAAUGCAAGCCUCGGGGUGACGAAAGGGUCACGACAAGCGGUGGUUGAUCAUAUCUCGGCCCUUGUUGCGUUGUGAUCCAGCGUGCCCCAACGAGCUAAGUAUCCCUGAUGCGUCGUCUUGACGGCGUUUGCUUCGCGACC
This 645-nucleotide ribosomal RNA is filed under the name Myriophyllum pedunculatum. RNAcentral's name for it is "eukaryotic LSU rRNA". The stretch from base 259 to 414 matches the Rfam family "5.8S ribosomal RNA". The record is from RNAcentral. Lineage: Eukaryota; Viridiplantae; Streptophyta; Magnoliopsida; Saxifragales; Haloragaceae.